RNAcentral lists this microRNA (21 nucleotides) under Homo sapiens (human). RNAcentral describes it as "hsa-miR-1228-5p". Lineage: Eukaryota; Metazoa; Chordata; Mammalia; Primates; Hominidae. The record is from miRBase by way of RNAcentral.
GUGGGCGGGGGCAGGUGUGUG